Ailuropoda melanoleuca (giant panda) is the source of this 994-nucleotide long non-coding RNA. RefSeq lists it as uncharacterized. NCBI's taxonomy places the organism in Eukaryota, Metazoa, Chordata, Mammalia, Carnivora, Ursidae. The transcript is spliced from 3 exons. The record is from RefSeq and is a predicted model, not a curated record.
GGAACCGACCUGUGGAGACCGCCAUCUUCUCCUGCAGCCCGACGCAGCCGCCUGCACGCACAGCGACGUCAGCGCCACUUCCGGGAGCGCGCCGCCCCGCCCCCCGCCCCGCGGCUUCCCGGCGCGCGUCACAUGGGCUCCGCCCCCGGCGGCGUUCUCUCCGGUCAACUAGCCAAAGGGAGCGCAGGGCUUCGCAGCUGUUUGGACUGCUGCACUGGACCUUCCUAAGAUUCUGCUAUUGAUUCAAAGUAAAAGUUAAAGAUAAGUUUAUUGGGACACCACGUUGAGUCGGUCAUCAUAAUAUAGAGCAAAAAGGAAAUAUUUUCUAAAAGGCAUGUGCAAUGGAGGGGAAGAGAGGGGGAAAUUUCUUUUAAUUUUUUUGUUUGUUUAAAGGCAUGUGCAGUGCGGCUGCAGUCCCCAAUACGGCAGCCACGUGUGUUAUGAGCUCGUGCCUGGGGAUGUGCUGUAAGGGAGACUGCGCAGGGUCACCAGCUGCCAUACAAGAGCUACCCUAGAGAGAAGCCCAGGUGGCAAGGAACAGCUUCUGGCCAAUAGCCUUGGAGGAAGUAAGGCCCUCAGUUCAACAGCCAUGAAGAACUGAAUCCUGUCAACAAACAUAAGGGAAAAUACAGAAAAGAACUAUGGAUGGAAGCAGAAAAAAGAACAACAAACGAGAAGAUGCAUAGACACACAAAGUCACAGAAUCCCUUUAAUGGCAACUUGAAGGCAUUAAGAUGACUAGGUCUUUAGGUCCCUGUUGCCUCUUUCUAGUUGCCAAAAUAACUGUUCCUCGUCUAACAGCAGUAGAAGUACAACUCCCAUGAAGUUUCUGCCUCCCUUAUUGCCAUUAAUGUUUGUGGUGGACAGUCUGGCACCCCAUGAUCCCACCUUCUGGUAUUCAUGCCCUAGUAUGAUCCCUUUUCCUUGAGGGUGAACAGGACUUGUGGCUUGUCUUUUUUCUUUUCCAGUUUUAUUGAAGUAUUAUUGACAAAUU